Molecule: long non-coding RNA, 3130 nt
Organism: Macaca fascicularis (crab-eating macaque)
Lineage: Eukaryota; Metazoa; Chordata; Mammalia; Primates; Cercopithecidae
Source: Ensembl
GGGAAACACGGGGCCCUGUGAGACAGGAAAUCUAGGGUGUUGUGUAGCUCCAUUACCAUCCUCUUCUUUUAUGGAUUCAGUGUCUUGUUCUUUUGUUCCAUGUGAGAAUCAUCCCUAUCCUGCCUACAUUAGAAAGCUGGAGAAAUAUGAAGUAAGUGAAAACAUGUGGAAAAUGUACUAAAAUAUUAAUGCAAGGAUGCAAGGUAUAAGCUUUGCUGGAACAUUAGCUCCUCAUUUAUUAGUAACAUUACAGGCAUUUGAAAAUAUGUACUUUAUGUGGGACCUAUGUUUUACAUAUAUGCUAAUCAUCCUAGAAACCCUACAAGGUAGGUGUUACUUUUUUCCAUUUUACCAUUAAGGAAAUUAUCCAGGUUUACACAACCGGAACCCAGGUCUCUGUCGGUACAAAACUGUCUACUCUUCCAAACUGUUUUAUCUAUCCAAAUUUAUUUCCUCCAUUAAACAUUAGUUGAACACAACGUGGUGUAUCACCCAAGGUCAGCUGGCACCUUGAAAACUAUGUGUUACUCAGCCUCUUAGCACCUAGCAAAGAGUGGAGCAUAUAACAGUCUUUCAAUUAAGUUUUGUUGAAGAAAGAAAUGAAGGCUCUUGGUCUUUAGAAAUUCAUAAAUCAGCUGAAGAGACAGAUUUACUAACCAAUAGCAUAUGAUCAGCAUGUUCUAAUUGGUAAUGUCUCUGGAAUAAGACAGCCGGCCGCAAAAAAAUGUCUGACUUUUGCAGAGAAACUCCUAGUAUGAGUUUGACUGCUGUCCCACAUCUACCUAUGUGGCCAUAGUGCUGUAGCCACUGUUGUUACCCUAAGAGGACAGCCUUAUUCCUCCAGGUCUCUUACAACUCUCUUUUAAGGAACUUGUAUUAGAUCCCUAGAGCUGCUGUAACAUAUUGCCCCAAUCUUGGUGACUUAAACCAACAGACAUUUAUUAUCUCAUAGUUCUGGGGGCUAGAAGCCUGAAAUCAAUGUGUCUGCAGGCUUCACUGUCUCUGAAUUUUUUUAUGAGAACAUUUUUCAUUUGAUUUAGGGCCUACCUGGGUAAUCCAGGAUGAUAUCAUCUUAAGAUUCCUAAUUUAAUGAGACCUGUAAAAUCCAUCUUUCCAAAUAGGUCACAUUAACAGCUUCUGAAGACUAAGGCAUGGACAGAUCUCAUUGGAAGCCAUCAUUCAACCAACUGCAAAGCUUUAGCCAAUUCCCAGCUAUGAAUUCUUCCAAGAUGAAAGGAUACCAAGCUCAAGACCCUCCCUUGUUCAUUUGAAGCCUUCCCAAAGAUGACUGACAACUUCACAGAUUUCAUUUGGUUUCAUUUCCUAUCUUAAUGAAAAAAAUGAUAAUGUUUAUACUGUAUGAUAAUGAAAACAUCAUGUAAAGAUUACUCUUUAUCUAAAUGUUAGCACAUAUUUUUGAACAUCUAUCAUUUUUCCAGCAGUUAUGAUUUUUUCUUCCCAAGAAUAUGGGAAUGAGGUGAAACUGACAACUUUUCCCCCACACAUUGUAUCCUCUUUUAACGCCACCCUGUGUUUAACAGCACCUGACAGAAUGUAGGAGCAAUCCAUGGUGCUCAAAGAAUGUUAUGGAAUUUAACAACAAGUAUAUAUAUUUGUUUUGAUCCAGUGUCUCAUCUGACUACCUUGGGCUACAGGAAUACCCUAGGUGAGAAGGGAAAGUUGGGUUCUAGCCCAACUCCUGUUACUAAAUCUCUGAGCUCCAUGACCCUUGGAUAUUCUAGUUGUUAUUACUACAAAACUUAGUGGCUUAAAGCCAUCUUUUCAUUUUGCUCAAAUUUUGUGGGUCAGAAAUUUGGGAAAGGAUUAGGCUGGAUAGUUUUCACUUGGAGUUUCUUCUACCAUUGCAGUCAUAUGUCAACUGGGACUGAAAUAAUCUGAUAGCUUAGCUAGGCUAGAUACCCAAGAUGCCUCACUCUGGUGGUUAGUGCUGGUAGUUAACUGGGAGAUCAUUUGGGACUGUCAUCUGGAACACCUGCACAUGGCUUUUUCAAGUGGCAGUGUUAAGACAAUAGUUCUAAUAUGACAUCUGGCUUCCUCUAGGGUGAGUGUAGAACCUGUGGAAACUACAUGGAUAUUUAUGACAUAGCCUUGGACAUCAUAUAAGAUCACUUCUCCCAUACUCGAUUGAAACAAGCAGUUGCGAGUCACCCAAAUUCAAAGCAAUGGGACAUAGCUCCCCACCUCUCAAUGGGAGACGUGACCAAGAAUUUGGGAGCAAUAUUUUAAAACCACCACAGGUACUUUAUACUACAUGAGUCUAGCUCUUCUCUAUAAAAUGGGACUACAUUGUCUCUAAGACUCCUCUAGGGCUUAAAGUCUAUGGAGCACUUUCCUUUAAUAAUCUUAAUUUAUAGAUACUUACAUUAGUAUUUGUAUGCCAAUUCUUUUCUAUCAUAAAAUAACCAUAGUACAUAGAAUUUUUAAAAAUAGAAAAAAAGGCUCAGUUUCAAUGCCUAAAUCUUUAUAUAUUUACGUAUUUAGAGUUAUUUUCUGUGUUUUUGUUUGUUUGUGGUGUCUUGUGUAUCUCUCUGUGUGUGUGAGUGUGGUGAACCUAACAGUACAUCAUUUUAGCAUCUUUUCUCAGAAUUAAGCCAGAAAAACAUUCUGAAAGGUUGUUUGUUUUGUUUUGUUUUGUUUUGUUUUGUUUUUGAGAUGGAGUCUCGCUCUGUCACCCAGGCUGGAGUGCAGGGAGGCAAUCUUGGCUCACUGCAAGCUCCGCUUCCCAGGUUCACACCAUUCUCCUGCCUCAGCCUCCAGAGUAGCUGGGACUACAGGCACCCGCCACCACACCCAGCUAAUUUUUUUUUUUUUUUUUUUUUUUGUAUUUUUGGUAGAGAUGGUGUUUCACCGAGUUAGCCAGGAUGGUCUCCAUCUCCUGACCUUAUGAUCUGCCCGCCUGGGCCUCCCAAAGUGCUAGAAAUACAGGCAUGACCCACUGUGCCCAGCCUGAAAGCUGGUUUUUAAAGACCAUCAGUUGCCAUUACAAGUAAACAUACUAUGCAACAGUAACAUUUAAUAUCCCAAUUAAAUUGUAGUGGUCGUUGACCUCAGAUUACAAACUCAGGUGGGCCAGAAAUGUCUUAUUUUACAAUAAAUUUGUUUUAAUUUU